CCCUUAGAUGUUCUGGGCCGCACGCGCGCUACACUGAUGCAUUCAACGAGUUUCUUCCUGGUCCGAGAGGAAUGGGUAGCCUUUUGAAAGUGCAUCGUGAUAGGGAUAGACUAUUGCAAUUAUUGGUCUUCAACGAGGAAUUCCUAGUAGACGUAGUUCAUCAGACUGCAUCGAUUACGUCCCUGCCCUUUGUACACACCGCCCGUCGCUACUACCGAUUGAAUGGUUUAGUGAGAUCUUCGGAUUGGCGCCACUGCGGCUCAGCAAUGGGCUCGGUGGAUGCCGAAAAGUUGAUCAAACUUGAUCAUUUAGAGGAAGUAAAAGUCGUAACA
This 332-nucleotide ribosomal RNA is filed under the name uncultured eukaryote. Its description in RNAcentral is "partial 18S ribosomal RNA". It matches the Rfam family "Eukaryotic small subunit ribosomal RNA", at positions 1470 to 1796 of the family's 1831-position model. The record is from RNAcentral.